Long non-coding RNA from Leptinotarsa decemlineata (Colorado potato beetle), 390 nucleotides. Lineage: Eukaryota; Metazoa; Arthropoda; Insecta; Coleoptera; Chrysomelidae. The record is from RefSeq and is a predicted model, not a curated record.
AAAUAAAUCACGACGAUGUUUAAAUCAUUCAUUGUUUUUAUAUUGGCUGCACUGGUUUGCCAAGUGUUGGGUGAAUUCACUAAAUGUGAUUGCGAUAAACCUCAUACAAUUGCCGGAAUAAGCUGCGAUGCUUACACUGUUCGUUAUCACUGGAAUAAUUCUCUCAAAAAAUGUGAAGAAGUUAUUUACGGUGGAUGCAGAGCAACCGAAAACAACUUUAAGACCUUACAAGAAUGUGAAAGGACGGCUGGAGUUAUAUGUCGAAGUCUUUAAAUAUUGAUUUUCAUUUUUGUCAGAAUAAUUGACAACAAAAGUGAUAUGGAAUGAAAAGUGAUCACGUUUUUUCAAACCUAUGCGAUAUGAAUAAACGUUUCAAAUUCAAGUAUGUUA